CCAAAGUGCUGGGAUUACAGGUGUGAGCCACCACACCCAGCCAGAAUUUACAUUUUUCAAAAGGUCCCUGAUGUUGCUGAGGCAGGACCACACUUUAAGAACCACUAUAGUAGAGGUUUAGGAAGAGACAGAGAAAAAUCUCUCCAGGCUACAAGACUGUCUGAUGCUGAAGGUCUUGGCCUAGUGUACCACACCAAGGAACUCCCACACUCUGAAUGAACAGCCCAGUGAUCAGGAGCUUUGAAUCAAUUCUUGGCACCUAACAGUUUGUGAAGAGUCUGCUAAACUCCCUCUAUCAGAAAUCCCAGAGGACUGAGAACAGGUCAUCCUUGGAGCUGUAUCUGAAUGGAGUCAGGAUCUGGAAGCCCAAGUCUCCUUGUCAAUGUCUGCUUGGUUCCCAAGGACACCUGUAAAUGGAAGAGGGGCAUAGUACACAGAAGACAUUGCUGGCAAGUGUGGUCUCUUUACGAUCAGAAACUAUUCUUAAGACCGGACGCGGUGGCUCAUGCCUG
RNAcentral lists this long non-coding RNA (512 nucleotides) under Homo sapiens (human). RNAcentral describes it as "HSALNT0394668". Lineage: Eukaryota; Metazoa; Chordata; Mammalia; Primates; Hominidae. The record is from RNAcentral.